RNAcentral lists this ribosomal RNA (460 nucleotides) under uncultured bacterium. Its description in RNAcentral is "partial 16S ribosomal RNA". It matches the Rfam family "Bacterial small subunit ribosomal RNA", at positions 338 to 795 of the family's 1533-position model. The record is from RNAcentral.
CCUACGGGAGGCAGCAGUGAGGAAUAUUGGUCAAUGGGCGGAAGCCUGAACCAGCCAAGUCGCGUGAGGGAAUAAGGCCCUACGGGUCGUAAACCUCUUUUGCCGGGGAGCAAGGGCGGGGACGUGUCCCGGUCCGGAGAGUACCCGGAGAAAAAGCCUCGGCUAACUCCGUGCCAGCAGCCGCGGUAAUACGGAGGAUGCGAGCGUUAUCCGGAUUUAUUGGGUUUAAGGGGUGCGUAGGCGGGCUUUUAAGUCAGCGGUAAAAAUUCGGGGCUGAACCCGGUCCGGCCGUUGAACCUGGGGGCCUUGAGUGGGCGAGAGGAAGGCGGAAUGCGUGGUGUAGCGGUGAAAUGCAUAGAUAUCACGCAGAACCCCGAUUGCGAAGGCAGCCUUCCGGCGCCCUACUGACGCUGAGGCACGAAAGCGCGGGGAUCGAACAGGAUUAGAUACCCGGGUAGUC